GACAUCACUGGAAGUUACAACUUUCAAAGAAGGCAUUUAUGAUUUAAAGAUUUGUGAAUGGAAAUCAAUAACAUCGGAAUGAAAAAGGACUACGGGGUAACGGAUGACACUCUGAGAUUGAGAACCCAAAAGGUACAUGCUGUGCUAGAAAGAUGUAAACAUGCGAAUUCCUAAAUGUACUAAAUAUUAAAACAUCAACUGCAAUCUUCAGUGGUGACAUCCAAAAGUUGAUAUGCCAUUGGUACUUCAAGUGAUACGACCGUGACAUUGGAAAAUCCUUUUAACUUAUCAUCACUUGAGCCUGAAUUGCAAUCCUUUUGAUACAGACAUUUUUUUAAGUUCAGUUUCGAACAUUAAUGCCGCUGUGUCAUCUCUGGAAAUGGAAAAGCCUACCACAGAAUCUGAUGAAUUUUUGAACAUUCUUUCACAAAAAGGGAUCUUCUUUAUUUUGAAGAAGGUAGCCCAGGAACUGGAAAUCUGUUAUCAAAAUGAUCUUAAUAAUACACUGGACAAUAUUCUAACCUUAAAAAAAACCAUGACAAACCCGAUUGAACUCCUGUGAUGAAGCAUCUCAAAACUCAAAUUAUGGUAGUCUUUCAAGUGACAUUGAGGAUUUCAAUAGCGCAUUUGACAGUGAAGUGAUUUUUAUUCAAGUUCAGAUUGUUGUCAUUAUAAAUUUAUAAGAAGUGUUCUCAUAGCCAACAUUUUUCAAGUCUACUUUUGAUGAAAUAUAGUCUUUUCUAUUACAACUUAUUAUGACAUGAUUGUUGUUGUAUACAUAAAUGUUCUUAUCCACGAAUCAUUCACUGUUCUUACAGGGUUUUUUUUAGCCUGAACUAUGUAGCAAUGACAUGUCAAGGUAAUCCAGAAAAUGUAAAAUCUUUUCUUUGAUAUGACAAGGAUUUAAUUUUGUAACAAUAUCUAAAAGUCCUGUAACCCUCAUUAAAGUCCUUUAUAAUCUGACUUCACUGGUUGUAAGAUUUUGAGGGUAAUUGCAAGACUUCUCUCUUUGCAUACUUUUAAUACGAAGUCCUGGAAAGCAAUGUAAAGUCUUGCAUUAUCUUGAAUGUAUCAAGUAUGAGAUUUUUAGGGAAUUUCUGGGACGAUGUUUUCAUUUUAUAAUAAAGUCCUGAAAAACACAAGAAUGUCCUAGAAAAACCUGCUGCUAUGAGAGUGGGACUUUGUAAGACAUUUAGGUAAUAAAUAUGUCCUAGAAAUUCUUGCAAAGUCACUCUUGAUGUAAGUGGGAUAUUCCAGGACAAAUGCAGAAACAUGAACUCCUGUAUUAUCCCACUGCAUUAGGACAUGGGAGAAGUGGGACUUCACAAGGAAGUCCCAGGACUUCCAGGGAUAUCCUUCAAUUAAGCAAAAAAGUGGGAUUUAUUUUCAGAGGGGUUGUAUGGUAAGCGUACAAUUUGUUUGACAAACUUCAGCAUCUCACGGUGGGGAAAAUGACAUUAAAACACUUGCCAGAAUAACUGACACAGUAACUGUAAAAUUAUAUAAUAUACUAAUGUAACAAUAUUUUUUACACAAGUUUUAGAAAGUAAAAUCAAUAAAAGAUGUAUUUGACCUUCUGCAGUUGUAAAAUGCAUAACAAUUAGUAUGUCUAAAUUCAUUAAAUUUGGAUUUGAAGUACAUGCCUAAAAUUGCUCAGGUUACAUAUUUAUUAAUAAAAGAUCUCCAGCGGCAGGGGGCCGCCUACGCCCCCUGACCCCCGCCUUACUAUUUUCCAUUUCAUAAUGUUGGCAGCUCUGAAUGUAUGGAAAAAUCUUCUCAAGAACCACUGUGCCAGAAAAGCUGAAAUUUACAUGAAAGCUUUCUGACAGUGCAGAUUCAAGUUUGUUCAAAUCAUGGCCCCAGGGUUCGAUGGGGCCACAAUAGGAGGUCAAAGUUUUAUAUAGAAAUAUAUAGGGAAAAUCUUCUCAAAAACUACGGGCCAGGAAAGUGGAAAUUUACAUGAAAGUUUCCUAACAUAGUGCAGAUGAAAUUUGUUCAAAUCAUAGCCCCCGGGGAUAGGAUGGGGCCACAAUAGGGGAUCAAAGUUUUACAUACAAAUAUAUAGGGAAAAUCUUUAAAAAUCUUCUUCUCAAGGACCACUGAGCCAGAAAAGCUGAGAUUUACAUGAAAACUUCCUGACAUAGUGCAGAUUCAAGUUUGUUAAAAUCUUGGCUCCCCGGGGUUGUAUGUGGCCACAAUAGGGAUCGAAGUUUGGCAGGCGAAUAUAUAGGAAAAAUCUUUAAAUAUGAGCCAAGGUGACUCCGGUGAGAGAUGUCGCCCAUGUGCCUCUUGUUAAUUUUUAAAUCCCCAUUGGACACUACGAUUUGAAGUUUGAAGGAGUUGUCCUCAUAAGUAUUUCCAUUGUCUACAGUAAACAAAGCUCUGAGCUGGAGAUUUUGUCAGCCCGAUAGGCAACGUAAUUUCUGAUGGUGAACUAAAAUAUGCAUGAUAUUAUUUUUGAAAGCGCUCGUUUGCGCAGUUGUUUAGUUAGGAAACCUAUGUAUCAAAUUAAAGUGGAGUAAAUACUGAAUGUAUCUGAUAUUGUAACAUGUAUGCAACCUCGCCGAAAAAAGUGUGAAAAAAUCGGUUGACCUACUUUGUGCAGUCAACAUGAUGAAUAUUGCAUCUGUAAUAAAAUGUUCAUAAUCAUUUUGUUCUUCAGAUUCUCAGGUGUUUUUAUGCAGGCUGUCCAGCGGCCCUAAAAUUCCUAAUUUUUUUCAGUUUUGCUAAAAUUCCUAAAAAAAAAUGUAAAAUUCAAGGGGAAAUCCUAAAAAAGCCCUUAUUUUUCAUGUCAAUUCCUACUUUUUUAUAAGUCUUGAAAAAUCAAAAUGCAUUCAUACAAAAUGUGUGUUAUUAACGUAGAUUGCAGUUCUUAUUCAGAUAAUGCUGAUGCAGUGAAAGGCAGUUGACCUGUGGAUCCAUGUGUCAAGCUUGUUUAUUGGUUAUAGCCAAUAAUAGCUGAGACCAUGGAACACUGGAAUACGCCCUUCCUGUACUUGCAUCUUAUUUGUGUGUCAUGUGAGUUUCUUUAUUGUCAAAUUUGACAAGGUAAAUCCUUUUAAAUAAUUAAA
Long non-coding RNA from Ostrea edulis (European flat oyster), 3071 nucleotides. RefSeq lists it as uncharacterized. NCBI's taxonomy places the organism in Eukaryota, Metazoa, Mollusca, Bivalvia, Ostreida, Ostreidae. The transcript has 3 exons. The record is from RefSeq and is a predicted model, not a curated record.